GCCUGUGUACACAGUAGUGGAGAGCUGGGUUCCUGCGUCUAAAGCGGGAUCGUAUCGUAGGUUCGAAUCCUACCACAGGCG
This 81-nucleotide transfer RNA is filed under the name Caudoviricetes sp. Its description in RNAcentral is "tRNA-OTHER". It matches the Rfam family "tRNA". From Rfam's summary of the family: Transfer RNA (tRNA) molecules are approximately 80 nucleotides in length. Their secondary structure includes four short double-helical elements and three loops (D, anti-codon, and T loops). Lineage: Duplodnaviria; Heunggongvirae; Uroviricota; Caudoviricetes. The record is from RNAcentral.